AGAACAGUUAGUGGUCAAUUCAGGAGAAAGGCAGAUAUUCCUACCUGCCUCCUGUGCCAGAUACUGACUUGCUGUACUGUGUGAAUAGUGUCUGCUGGGGCUCACUUUGAGGAAGGAAGAGUUUGAUUUAUUUCUUCUGAAGUGUGAGACUGCUUUGAAGAGUUUCUUGUGCCCAUUUGGUGACAAAUAUAAUUACGACUGAGUAUGAUGCAGAUGAAGAAGUAUUCAAGAGGAGUCAGAGAUACUGCUGAUCGCCUCAGGCACUAUAUGUUUUGCCUUUAGCUGCCCCCCACACACAUCAAGAUUUUCUGCUUAAAGCUUCUGGGUUGCACAGAGAAGGGUU
This 343-nucleotide long non-coding RNA is filed under the name Anas platyrhynchos platyrhynchos (common mallard). Its description in RNAcentral is "lncRNA (ENSAPLG00000027573.1)". Lineage: Eukaryota; Metazoa; Chordata; Aves; Anseriformes; Anatidae. The record is from RNAcentral.